GCUGGCCGUGGUGGCACGCACCUGUAAUCCCAGCUACUCAGGAGGCUGAGGCAAGAGAAUCGCUUGAACCCGGGAGGCACAGGUUGCAGUGAGCCGAGAUCAGCCACUGCACUCCAGCCUGGCGAGAGAGUGAGACUCUGUCUCAAAAAAAAAAAAAAAAAGGAGGAGGAGUCUCCCUCUGUUGCCCAGUCUGGAGUGCAAUGGCACCAUCUCGGCUCAGUGCAACCUCCACCUCCUGGUUCAAGCAAUUCUUCUGACUCA
This 261-nucleotide small RNA is filed under the name Pongo abelii (Sumatran orangutan). Lineage: Eukaryota; Metazoa; Chordata; Mammalia; Primates; Hominidae. The record is from RNAcentral.